CCUACGGGGGGCUGCAGUCGAGAGGCUUCGUCAAUGCCCGAAAGGGUGAACGAGCGACGCCGCGUGCGGGAUGAAGGUCUUCGGAUCGUAAACCGCUUUUAUUAGGAAAGAAGAUUAUGCUCGUGAAGCAUAGUUUGACGGUACCUGAUGAAUAAGCCUCGGCUAACUCCGUGCCAGCAGCCGCGGUAAUACGGAGGAGGCGAGCGUUGUUCGGAAUCAUUGGGCGUAAAGGGCUUGUAGGCGGACAGGUGUGUCUGGCGUGAAAUCUCCACUGCUUACCAGGGAGGGUGCGUUGGAAACUGCUUGUCUGGAGUAUGACAGAGGGUCGCGGAAUUCCGGGUGUAGCGGUGGAAUGCGUAGAUAUCCGGAGGAACACCGGUGGCGAAGGCGGCGGCCUGGGUCAAUACUGACGCUGAGGAGCGAAAGCUAGGGUAGCAAACAGGCUUAGAUACCCCAGUAGUC
This 462-nucleotide ribosomal RNA is filed under the name uncultured bacterium. RNAcentral's name for it is "bacterial SSU rRNA". It matches the Rfam family "Bacterial small subunit ribosomal RNA", at positions 338 to 795 of the family's 1533-position model. The record is from RNAcentral.